Suricata suricatta (meerkat) is the source of this 733-nucleotide long non-coding RNA. RefSeq lists it as uncharacterized. The transcript is spliced from 3 exons. The record is from RefSeq and is a predicted model, not a curated record. Lineage: Eukaryota; Metazoa; Chordata; Mammalia; Carnivora; Herpestidae.
UGUUCCCGAACGUGCGGCGAUCACGUGGUUGGUUUGGGCGGGACCCGGUCUGGCGGCGAACGCGCCCCAUACACGGCACCUUCCCGAAAGCUACCCGUGGGCUGGCCACGCACUGGCGGCGAUGCUGUGGAUGGUGAUGUUGGCCUCGGCCACGGAGAAGUACGAGGUGUGAGGCCCUUCGGCCACCUCCAUGAGGUCGACCAGCUGACCUGGGAGACGGAGGGCGGAGUCCUGAGGACGGGGUCCCCUCCCCCCGCUCACCCCCAGCCCUGGGUUCAUGACUCGAGGGACACAGACGAGAGGCGGACACGCAUGCCUGCGCAGGGGCAUCGCACACAAUGCACUUGGGCUUGAGCAAAGCGCGCCCCAGGGGGACAGGACCGCAGGGGAGAAACGCCUUCCUCGCUGCUGGAGGCCUGAGUGCCUCCGAAUCCCGUUAGCUACACGGGGAGCCUGUGUAAGGGGGAAAUGCAGCAUGGGGGACAGAACCUUGAAUGAAGGCAGCCCCGUCUCGGGGUGCUGGAGGAAGUGGUGUGACCCGGACUGCUAGAGGCUGGCCCAGGGUCCUCACCUAGGAAGGACCGCCUCCAGACAUCUCCGGGACACAGGAGGAAGGCGGCCAUCUGUGAGCCAGCAAGAGAGCCCUCACCAAGGGCCAAAUCCGCCAGUGUCUGGAUCUUGGACUUUCCAGCCUCUAGAUCUAUGAGGAAUAAAUGGCUGCUUGAGUCUCCCA